GAUGAACGCUGGCGGCGUGCUUAACACAUGCAAGUCGAACGGAAAGGCCCAAGCUUGCUUGGGUACUCGAGUGGCGAACGGGUGAGUAACACGUGGGUGAUCUGCCCUGCACUUCGGGAUAAGCCUGGGAAACUGGGUCUAAUACCGGAUAGGACCACAUUUUGGAUGGUGUGGUGGAAAGUUUUUCGGUGUGGGAUGAGCUCGCGGCCUAUCAGCUUGUUGGUGGGGUAAUGGCCUACCAAGGCGUCGACGGGUAGCCGGCCUGAGAGGGUGUACGGCCACAUUGGGACUGAGAUACGGCCCAGACUCCUACGGGAGGCAGCAGUGGGGAAUAUUGCACAAUGGGCGCAAGCCUGAUGCAGCGACGCCGCGUGGGGAUGACGGCCUUCGGGUUGUAAACUCCUGUCGCUAGGGACGAAGCGUUUUUGUGACGGUACCUGGAGAAGAAGCACCGGCUAACUACGUG
Molecule: ribosomal RNA, 466 nt
Filed under: uncultured bacterium
Lineage: Bacteria
Description: partial 16S ribosomal RNA
Rfam family: Bacterial small subunit ribosomal RNA
Source: RNAcentral